UACAGAGGUCCCGAGCGUUGUUCGGAUUUAUUGGGCGUAAAGGGUGCGUAGGCGGCGGAGUAAGUUGGGUGUGAAAUCCCGGGGCUCAACCUCGGAAUUGCAUUCAAUACUGCUUCGCUCGAGUACUGGAGAGGAGGCUGGAAUUUACGGUGUAGCAGUGAAAUGCGUAGAUAUCGUGAGGAAGACCAGUUGCGAAGGCGGAUCUCUGGGCAGUUCCUGACACUGAGGCACGAAGGCCAGGGGAGCAAACGGG
Molecule: ribosomal RNA, 253 nt
Filed under: uncultured bacterium
Lineage: Bacteria
Description: partial 16S ribosomal RNA
Rfam family: Bacterial small subunit ribosomal RNA
Source: RNAcentral